GAGUUUGAUCAUGGCUCAGAUUGAACGCUGGCGGCAUGCUUUACACAUGCAAGUCGAACGGCAGCACGGACUUCGGUCUGGUGGCGAGUGGCGAACGGGUGAGUAAUAUAUCGGAACGUACCUAGUAGAGGGGGAUAACUAGUCGAAAGAUUAGCUAAUACCGCAUACGAUCUACGGAUGAAAGCGGGGGACCUUCGGGCCUCGCGCUAUUAGAGCGGCCGAUAGCUGAUUAGCUAGUUGGUGGGGUAAAGGCCUACCAAGGCGAUGAUCAGUAGCUGGUCUGAGAGGACGAUCAGCCACACUGGGACUGAGAACGGCCCAGACUCCUACGGGAGGCAGCAGUGGGGAAUUUUGGACAAUGGGGGCAACCCUGAUCCAGCAAUGCCGCGUGAGUGAAGAAGGCCUUCGGGUUGUAAAGCUCUUUUGUCAGGGAAGAAAAGGCGAAGGUUAAUACCCUUUGCUGCUGACGGUACCUGAAGAAUAAGCACCGGCUAACUACGUGCCAGCAGCCGCGGUAAUACGUAGGGUGCCA
RNAcentral lists this ribosomal RNA (532 nucleotides) under uncultured Oxalobacteraceae bacterium. RNAcentral's name for it is "bacterial SSU rRNA". It matches the Rfam family "Bacterial small subunit ribosomal RNA", at positions 9 to 537 of the family's 1533-position model. The record is from RNAcentral. Lineage: Bacteria; Pseudomonadati; Pseudomonadota; Betaproteobacteria; Burkholderiales; Oxalobacteraceae.